This is a long non-coding RNA of Patella vulgata (common limpet), 633 nucleotides long. RefSeq lists it as uncharacterized. NCBI's taxonomy places the organism in Eukaryota, Metazoa, Mollusca, Gastropoda, Patellidae. The transcript is spliced from 3 exons. The record is from RefSeq and is a predicted model, not a curated record.
UUCUAACAAGAAGAACUCUCUUCCGCUCGAGUGGGUUUCUGCUAAAUUGACACGUUUCUCUUACAGAAUUACAUUUGUUCAAACACAAUAGAUCACCAAAGAUGAAGUCUCUACUACUGACAGUGUUUAGUACAGUUUUACUUCAGAUAGUUUUCACACAACAACCACCUGGUGUUCCACCUCAUCAGCAACAACAAUAUCAAGCACAAGGAGCUGUCCCCCCUCAACAACAGCAACAGCAAGUUUACCAACAGCAACAACAGGUGCAGCCACCAGUACAACCACCUGCUGGUCAGGGUUAUCAACAACCACCAGUACAACAACCUGGGGGUCAAGGUUAUCAACAGCCACCUGUCAAUCAACAAGCACACGGUCACCAACAAGCUCACGGUCACCAACAAGCACAAGGUCACCAACAAGCUCCUCAUAUGCAUGUACAAGAAGGUAGAGGUGGAGAUACUCUAAAAUUUAAAAAUGAUGUUCAUAAUACAGAGCAUAUUAUGGAACAUUUACAAGAGGUUAUAGAAACCAAACCUAAAGAUCAGAUGUCAGAAGAAGAAUUAGAGUUUCAUUAUUUUAAAAUGCAUGAUUAUAACGGUGAUAAUAAAUUAGAUGGUGUAGAGAUCGGAAAAG